RNAcentral lists this ribosomal RNA (453 nucleotides) under uncultured bacterium. RNAcentral describes it as "SSU rRNA". It matches the Rfam family "Bacterial small subunit ribosomal RNA", at positions 26 to 518 of the family's 1533-position model. The record is from RNAcentral.
AGAACGAACGCUGGCGGCGCGCUUAACACAUGCAAGUCGAACGCACCGGUUUCGGCCGGUGAGUGGCGGACGGGUGAGUAACGCGUGGGAACCUGCCCUUUGGUCUGGGAUAACCGCGGGAAACCGCGGCUAAGACCGGAUAAUUCCCGUGAGGGGAAAGACAUGUCGCCGAAGGAUGGGCCCGCGUCGGAUUAGGUAGUUGGUGGGGUAACGGCUCACCAAGCCUGCGAUCCGUAGCUGGUCUGAGAGGAUGGCCAGCCACACUGGGACUGAGACACGGCCCAGACUCCUACGGGAGGCAGCAGUGGGGAAUCUUGGACAAUGGGCGAAAGCCUGAUCCAGCGACGCCGCGUGGGUGACGAAUGCCUUCGGGUUGUAAACCCCUUUCGGCAGGGAAGAAGCGCAAGUGACGGUACCUGCAGAGAAGUCCGGCUAACUCGUGCCAGCAGCCAC